This 418-nucleotide ribosomal RNA is filed under the name Physunio modelli. Its description in RNAcentral is "bacterial LSU rRNA". Lineage: Eukaryota; Metazoa; Mollusca; Bivalvia; Unionida; Unionidae. The record is from RNAcentral.
ACCUGGGCGUACCCAGCCGGGCCCCCUAAGUUGGCCAGGCAACGCAAGCCCUGCGCGCCCCCUAAUACGCCUCGACAUUUCGGGCACGGAAGCGCACCCAGAGGCCCGCCUGGCCACGUGAAAGGAGCCCAGCUGCCGGUGCUGGCCGAGAGGCACGCCGGUGUUCGGACAGCGACCCUUCCACUGGCAGCCGGGGCGCGGCCGCCGCAAUGUCGGGUCGGUCAAGCAACUCGAGCAGCCUCCCGGCUCCUUCGAACGGCGAAGAGCAGGUGGGAGGGCGGUAGGAACGAGCAGUGCUGGCCCCGCCUGACCAGUCAGUCACGAGAGGGCUGGCGCUCGCAUCCUUCCCGGCCCAUGCCACGCUCUUAAACGAAGCCCGGUCACCGCUUAGCCAGCCAGGAGGUAGGCUGGGCAGAAC